UGCCAGCAGCCGCGGUAAUACGUAGGUGGCAAGCGUUGUCCGGAAUUAUUGGGCGUAAAGGGUGCGUAGGCGGCUCUUUAAGUGGGAUGUGAAAUCCCUAGGCUCAACCUAGGAACUGCAUUCCAAACUGGAGAGCUAGAGUGCAGGAGAGGAAAGCGGAAUUCCCAGUGUAGCGGUGAAAUGCGUAGAGAUUGGGAGGAACACCAGUGGCGAAGGCGGCUUUCUGGACUGUAACUGACGCUGAGGCACGAAAGCGUGGGGAGCAAACAGGAUUAGAUA
Molecule: ribosomal RNA, 279 nt
Filed under: uncultured bacterium
Lineage: Bacteria
Description: partial 16S ribosomal RNA
Rfam family: Bacterial small subunit ribosomal RNA
Source: RNAcentral